This 253-nucleotide ribosomal RNA is filed under the name uncultured bacterium. RNAcentral describes it as "partial 16S ribosomal RNA". It matches the Rfam family "Bacterial small subunit ribosomal RNA", at positions 524 to 776 of the family's 1533-position model. The record is from RNAcentral.
GACGUAGGGCGCGAGCGUUGUCCGGAUUUACUGGGCGUAAAGGGCGCGUAGGCGGCACCGCAAGUCGACUGUGAAAUCUCCGGGCUUAACUCGGAAAGGUCAGCCGAUACUGCGGGGCUAGAGUGCAGAAGGGGCAACUGGAAUUCUCGGUGUAGCGGUGAAAUGCGUAGAUAUCGAGAGGAACACCUGCGGCGAAGGCGGGUUGCUGGGCUGACACUGACGCUGAUGCGCGAAAGCUAGGGGAGCGAACGGG